CCUCUUUCUCCUCUCCAGUCAGUUCAGAUGAGAUGUCAGUUAGUUGUUGAUGUUCAGCUCAAGACUCAACAUGAUCAGAACCCUCUUACUCGGUUGGCUCUCAGGUCUAAGUCUCAGUGUUGAGGUUCACCAGACUCCCUCUGCAGUCUUCAGCAGACCUGGAGAGAAUGUUCAACUCUUCUGCCAACAUCAGAAAACAGACUAUAGAGUGAUGUUGUGGUACCAGAAACCACGAGGAGAAACAGCACUGAAACUCAUUGGAAAUCUGUAUCAUAAGAAUCCAACCAUUGAAAGUUCAUAUGAAAAGCAUUUUAAUAUGAGUGGGGAUUUGGGUGGAGGUGGCCCAAAGAAUGCCUCUCUGAACAUGUUCAACUUGAGACGACCCCAACACAGUGCUGUGUAUUUCUGUGCUGCUAGUUAUGCAGUGUUGCAGAUUCCCCUGUCUACACUACAAAAACCUUCUCUCAUUCACCGCCUCACUAGAUUAUACUGAAGCAACACCUCCCUCACACCUGCACUGAGG
Non-coding RNA from Oncorhynchus nerka (sockeye salmon), 523 nucleotides. The record is from the annotation of a RefSeq genome assembly. NCBI's taxonomy places the organism in Eukaryota, Metazoa, Chordata, Actinopteri, Salmoniformes, Salmonidae.